GACGAACGCUGGCGGCGUGCCUAAUACAUGCAAGUAGAACGCUGAAGCUUGGUGCUUGCACCGAGCGGAUGAGUUGCGAACGGGUGAGUAACGCGUAGGUAACCUGCCUGGUAGCGGGGGAUAACUAUUGGAAACGAUAGCUAAUACCGCAUAAGAGUAGAUGUUGCAUGACAUUUGCUUAAAAGGUGCAAUUGCAUCACUACCAGAUGGACCUGCGUUGUAUUAGCUAGUUGGUGAGGUAACGGCUCACCAAGGCAACGAUACAUAGCCGACCUGAGAGGGUGAUCGGCCGCACUGAGACUGAGACACGGCCCAGACUCCUACGGGAGGCAGCAGUAGAGAAUCUUCGGCAAUGGACGGAAGUCUGACCGAGCAACGCCGCGUGAGUGAAGAAGGUUUUCGGAUCGUAAAGCUCUGUUGUAAGAGAAGAACGAGUGUGAGAGUGGAAAGUUCACACUGUGACGGUAUCUUACCAGAAAGGGACGGCUAACUGCGUG
Molecule: ribosomal RNA, 497 nt
Filed under: uncultured bacterium
Lineage: Bacteria
Description: partial 16S ribosomal RNA
Rfam family: Bacterial small subunit ribosomal RNA
Source: RNAcentral